RNAcentral lists this unclassified non-coding RNA (2995 nucleotides) under Haliotis rubra (blacklip abalone). RNAcentral's name for it is "uncharacterized LOC124270105, transcript variant X5". Lineage: Eukaryota; Metazoa; Mollusca; Gastropoda; Lepetellida; Haliotidae. The record is from RNAcentral.
CCUGCUUGUUAUCAGCACCACAUACAUUGUAUGUCCUAGGGUAAGCUUAGGGACCUGCCCUGACAGCUUUCUAGGUGAGGGACAGUUGAAACCUGAUGAAACCUGAGUGAUAUACAAGACUACGUUAACCAACACUUAACCAUCAUUACUCUCAACACACACGAUGCAAACAAAAGUAUGUCAUGCACGUGCAGUACCUGCGAGAAGGUUGUACGUCAGUACGUAGACACACAGGAAAAGGUGCCAAAUUUGUUCGUUGAUCACCUUGACAUAUGCGAUUUAAAAGGCAAAAGGAAACAUAAAACGCAAAAGCAGAAAAGACUGAGAGAAAUCGAAAUCCAUUUGUCUGCCCUCAGAAAUACAGCAGGUGGCAAAAUUAUUCUUCAUGUCAACGGGACAGCUUGUGACGAUCGUUUCCUUGGAUGCGUUGAUGAGUUCCUGGAAGAAAGUUUGAAUAAUUUCAUAUGUGAUGGAACCUUGUUUGUUGAUACAUACACACGGAGAUGGCUAAGUGAGAUAAGCACAUUUGAGGAAUUCACAGAUUGUAUCCUCAUAUCGGUUGAGAAAACAAAAGGAGUUGCUACUGUGGAUUUUAAAACGAAGAUUUGUUCGGACUUAAAAGUCGAAAGGCCAUCAACUCUUAACAUCGUGUCUAUCUUGUGUCACAGGAAGAGUUCCUUCGAAAAAGCAGCAACAUUAAGAGGCCUGCCACCAAAUCCACAAGAAAGUCGAAACAUCCAGCUCAAAACAUAUCGACCUAAAGACCAAGAAAAAAGCAACAUUGAAAGUCACCCAGAUAAAUUUGCUAUUUAUAUUUGGGACAAACUUCGCUUCCGGGAAUACCUCAGCUGUAUGACCAAAGAUGAAGACGGAGGGUCCUUUUAUUUAGGAAUUACAGAAAAAGAAACGGAAUAUCAGCGUGCAUCACCGGGGAGCCCACGAACCUACAGUAGUUUGGUUCCAGAUAUUGAGGGAUUUGUAUUGCCCUGUAGUGAAGAUGAUUUAAAGAACAGUCUUCUGCGUUUGAUUCAAUCUCACGUCAGGAUACUACACGUUGAUACAGCCCUCAAGACCCUUUCACCAGAUCUUGUAAAAUUUCAAUUUCAUCGUUUGGAACGAAUUUCUUCUGAAAGCAAAAGGUAUGUUCUGGAGAUUGCGGUUGGUUAUACGGGCGGGAUAGUGUUCUAUGACGAAGAAGGUCCAGUGGCGUAUCACUUAAAUGAAGGGGAAGUUCAAAGAAUUACCCCUGACGACUGGUUGAGCAGAGUAACAAAAACCUUUGAUGAUCUCAAAGGUGAUUCAUCUCCAUAGUAAGCAAGAACCUUGUGAACAAAAACUAAAGUAGAUGAACUCAUUUAUCGAUUCAUUACAGCAGAAUCUUCAUACGUUUUCUUCUUGGUCAGAAUCAAUAAUAUAAAAUGACAUCAAGUUCCGAUGCGAAUCGUUCGAGUCUCUCAGACGGUACCUUAGACAACCUUCAUAAAGGAAUGGUUUGUGCUUACAAUAACAAACGUGAAGACAGCAGUGGUGGCAAUGAUGAAACAUUGGACAACCCAAAAAAACAAGUCCACAAAGGCAGGAUCCGAUGGUUAUAUUAGCGAAUCGUCCACUAUCCUCAGACGCAAAAAACGACUAAUACCAGAUGAAGUGACUCUUGCUAAGCCCCAGCAGUUACCUUCCAGUUAUGACCAGAAGGAUCUGAUGAGUAUUUUGAUGAAUAUUCAAACACAACAAGACACCCUGCUGAAGGAGGUAAGGGAGAUCAAAGACACACAGAAAGAGAUUCAACGAGAUCUGGUGAGACUUAAGGGCAGCAGCAGUGAUGGUGACCUCAGUGUAUCGGGUCUUAACUAUGAAAGACGUGCCCGAUAUUCAAUUCGUCCCAUAAGCACAGUAUCUAUGAGAAUUCAAGAAAUGCUGAAUUCUGAAUCAUCAUAUGGAGAAACAAAUGAAGAGGAGAUCAAUACCAAACUUUAAGAUUGUUAUUAGUUUGUAAUCACUGCACAACACGAACUUUCGUGUGUACUAAUGGAUGUCCUAAUGACAAACUUUAAGUCAGUCUUUCACCGACGACCAGACAAAUGAGUUUCAUCCUUGAAAAGUACAGCUUAGAAAUACUUUGUCAAUUUCAAUGAAUCGGUUAUAUGUAUACCCGUUCCUAAGAAUUACAUUCAACCACAUAUUCAAUGAGUUUAUACAAAUGUAUUUAUGCGCUUCUUAGAAUCUCAGUUCAUACUCCUGAAGAAUCUGGCCCGGUAACAUAUGCAGUUGUCAUGUGUAGGAGUCGUGGUAUCGUACCUUCAUGUUUCAAGUUGAUACGAGUGAACUGAACAUGAAAACAGAAAUCAUCUAAGAACAGGUUUUUUAAUGUCACUUAUUGACAUUUUAAGAAGGAACAUGAAAAAAUACUGUGUGAAAUGUGUACCCUACAGAAAUUUGUCACGGAAGUAAAACCAUGUUUCAGAUAACGUAAUGUCACAAACGUGUGAAGGCAUGAACAGUGUAUUUUCACAAGAUGACGAUUUGUGGCUUCAGCAUAGAAAUUCGGCAUUGGGAAUCUAUUACCACAUAUGCAGAUAUAGAUAAGAAGAGAACAUUUAAGUAGUGAUCAUUGUGGGAAUCGUUGAAGCUGCUAUAUAAAUGUGAGUUCGUGAUUUCAUUCAAGCAAUCAGAAUUAGUUUUAAAUAAUGUGAAGUCAGGAAAACUACUAAAGAACAAAAAGCAAAAACUCCGUUAGAAAUGCUGCGAUGGAUUUGCAACCCAAUACAGAUUUGUAUCCAAAUAGGAAGGAAAGUAUUGUUUGUUAUUGCCUACAAGAGAAGCUGCAUUGAAGAAGUUCAUUUGUUCCAGCUCCACAAAAAGAUUUCGUUGUGCAGCGCUAGAUGUGUUAAUAUUUUCAUAUGAUGAUAGUAAGAGAACGUAAACCCUAAUCACCCCUCUCUCUCUCUCUCUCUCUCUCUCUCUCUCUCUCUCUCUCUCUCUCUCUCUCUCUCCC